RNAcentral lists this ribosomal RNA (484 nucleotides) under uncultured bacterium. Its description in RNAcentral is "partial 16S ribosomal RNA". It matches the Rfam family "Bacterial small subunit ribosomal RNA", at positions 30 to 507 of the family's 1533-position model. The record is from RNAcentral.
AUUGAACGCUGGCGGCAGGCCUAACACAUGCAAGUCGAGCGGAUGAAGGGAGCUUGCUCCUGGAUUCAGCGGCGGACGGGUGAGUAAUGCCUAGGAAUCUGCCUGGUAGUGGGGGAUAACGUCCGGAAACGGGCGCUAAUACCGCAUACGUCCUGAGGGAGAAAGUGGGGAAUCUUCGGACCUCACGCUAUCAGAUGAGCCUAGGUCGGAUUAGCUAGUUGGUGGGGUAAAGGCCUACCAAGGCGACGAUCCGUAACUGGUCUGAGAGGAUGAUCAGUCACACUGGAACUGAGACACGGUCCAGACUCCUACGGGAGGCAGCAGUGGGGAAUAUUGGACAAUGGGCGAAAGCCUGAUCCAGCCAUGCCGCGUGUGUGAAGAAGGUCUUCGGAUUGUAAAGCACUUUAAGUUGGGAGGAAGGGCAGUAAGUUAAUACCUUGCUGUUUUGACGUUACCAACAGAAUAAGCGCCGGCUAACUUCGUG